Non-coding RNA from Peromyscus maniculatus bairdii (prairie deer mouse), 2041 nucleotides. NCBI's taxonomy places the organism in Eukaryota, Metazoa, Chordata, Mammalia, Rodentia, Cricetidae. The record is from RefSeq and is a predicted model, not a curated record.
CCUGGACAUAUCCCUAGUCUUGGAACCCAAGAAUUCCUGACCUGAGUAUGUGCACACUUACCAUGAGUGACAUGGAGGGAAAAGAGCACCUCUCACCUCCCCUGCUUUGCAGACUAGCAUGGCAUUGUCGGAGCUCCAGAGGAACUCAGAGAUUCCACACAGCAACAGGAGGACAUGCUGUGGAGGACAAUGACAUGGUUUCUCUUCCACCAUCCAACUACAGACAAGGACUCCAAGUUAACAACAAGAACUGUGGAAUCUACAGGAGUGGUCCCUUGUGACAGCCUCCCAGUGGAUAAUCCAGAAAACCUGCCUGACCAUGUAAACAAAUAUCUCAGAGGAACCUUGGGAAUUAAAUGUGUUUCCCUUCCUGAACUCUUGAAUGGAUACAUGAGAAGGGCAGUAUCCAUGGAACACCUGUCCCAGGUCUCCACUCACAUGAAGAAGGAGAACUUGAGGUCAUACCCUCGGCCCAUCUUUCACUGGUAUUAGACAGAGACAAUUUUCAAACAAAUACUGAUUCACUUAAUUAGAAUCAAAACAUAAUUUGUAUAAAUUGGCAUUCAGAAUGUUUGACCCCUGGAGGAGAGAAAUCUGAAGCUAUAUGAGCUCUCAGGUUCUACCAGCUGUUAUUCUAAAGGUAACAGAGGUUUGCACUUCAUCUAUACUCUCAGCAAAAUCCAGUCUGAUGCUCAAACACAAGAUGUAAAAACCAACUGGACCUGAACCUAGAAGAGAGGGCAGAGGACAAGAGAGAUUCUUGCAGACCAUCAUCUUCCUCUUCCAGGACUUCCCACCGAGUCUCAAAGACCCACAAAUGCUACAGGGAAGUAAUGGAAACCAGACACAUGGAACAGAACAGAAAGUUAGGUAACACCCAGUGAAAUCCUGCCAGCUGAUGUUCUGAUAGUCAACCAAGGAAAUCAAGGCAGAGAGAGUGGCUUGUCCACAAUUGAUUGUAGAAAAAGAUUUAAAAACAAGAAUAAGGAACCCUUUUAAAAACAAGAAACAUGGGCUGGAGAGAUGGCUCAUCCGUUAAAGGCCAGGCUCACAACCAAAAAGAAAAACAAGAAACAUGAACACAGUCACCAUUUCAAUUAACCCCAAAUACAAACACUAUAAUGUUCACAUAAACUUAUAGAAGAGGACAACGUAAGUGCCUGCCUUAUAGGAAGGAGGAAGGAGAAUAACACAGAUGAACUGCGGACUCAGGAGCCCUGCUGCCGACAGCCAUGAAUAUACAGAGGCAGGAGCAUGGCUGGAGAAGGACACUCCCCAGGACCUCUAGAGAGAGCUUGGCCCUGACACACGCCAGAGGACAACAAAUCUCUGCCAGUGAAAGCUCUGUGUCUGUGAGGAGGUGGAGGCGUUGUGUGUGCUGUGUGGUGGACUAGUGCUGAAACCUGUGCCAUUGUGUGGGAUGGAGAUGAGCUGUCCAGCGGAUCUGAUAACAGCACUGUAUGGAUGCCCCAGUCAGCUGGGAAACCAGCAGUGCUGACACCUAGAUACUCACAUGUGCUACCCAUGUCCCUCCCCUUGUUAACAACGUACAUACAGUGUCAGUGUAAGGACAUGAAUGACACCCCUUACCCACUCUCACCACAUAGUUCUCUAGGUAUUAGGACUAGAUAUUCAACUCCCUUCUGCUGUCCCCCACACAAUGCUAGAUUCUAGACCAUGCUAGACAUGCCUCCAACCACACUGUACUAAGACAUGGGGAAAUGUUGGACACUUGACCUCCUGACAAGGAUACACAGUUACUGCUUGGUUCAAAUACUCAUGGAAUCUUUCUGGACAGACACACAACACUAGGUAUAAUGCAACGUGGGACACUACAGCCAUGCCACCUCACUUUUACUACCAGCUGUCAGACCAGAUAAACAACACCUACAUUACACACACACACACACACACACACACACACACACACACACAUAUACACACACACAGCCUCUAAGACACUUAUUUCUAAGUGUGGGCCAUGCAUGACUUCCAACCAAAUCACACAUUGACUGCUAGGUAUCAGGCCUUCCUGAACAAA